This 372-nucleotide ribosomal RNA is filed under the name uncultured bacterium. RNAcentral describes it as "bacterial SSU rRNA". It matches the Rfam family "Bacterial small subunit ribosomal RNA", at positions 524 to 898 of the family's 1533-position model. The record is from RNAcentral.
CACGUAGGGGGCGAGCGUUGUUCGGAAUUACUGGGCGUAAAGGGCAUGUAGGCGGUUUUGUAAGCCUGACGUGAAAGGCUAUGGCUCAACCAUGGCACUGCGUUGGGAACUGCGAGACUUGAAUCAUGGAGGGGGAGCUGGAAUUCCAGGUGUAGGGGUGAAAUCUGUAGAUAUCUGGAAGAACACCAGUGGCGAAGGCGAGCUCCUGGCCAAUGAUUGACGCUGAGGUGCGAAAGUGUGGGGAUCAAACAGGAUUAGAGACCCUGGUAGUCCACACUGUCAACGAUGUGCACUAGGUGCUGGGGCGGACGCUUCAGUGCCGGAGCUAACGCGGUAAGUGCACCGCCUGGGGAGUAUGCUCGCAAGGGUGAA